UUGAAGUGGGGGCAUCUGUAGACAUGUAAAUUUCGUUGCAUGCAAAUGAUGCAUCACAAAGCUCCACAUGGCAUAUGACUCAUCAAAAAUAGACAAGUCAUCAAUGAUAUGUGGCACAAAUCAAGCAAAGGAAGUACAACACCUUCCCAAAAGUUGGCAAAAGGGAGAAAAUCCCUCUUAAAAUCAACAAGGGGUCCAAAUUGCUCCCAAAACCAGAAAGAAAUCUAAAGCAUCUUCACAAAACAAGCAAGAAUUGAAGAUUCCUCACAAAAUGGGCAAGAAAGCCCUAUAAUUAGGCCAAGCAAGGGAAAGUGGCUGAAAUUAAGACACAAAACAUGCCUAAAUUCUCCCAUGGAUGAAUCAAGACACAAAUCAAAGCCAAAUCCAUCCAAAGGAAGGCUUUGAGAAGUCUAUAAAUACAAGGUCCUUAGACAAGCAUAAAGGUUGACAAUUUCUACAUUCAAGAUCUACAAUUUCUACAUUCAAGGUGGACAAUUUCUACAUUGCAAGGCAAUUCUACAUCCAGAGAAACCUCUGCACCAAAUCUUUGAAGACUAAUACGCUACAAAAGUUCUCUUCAAAGAACACGCAACCAAAGCAGAAGCUUUCUUUUGACCAAAGCCGAAGCAUUCCCUUAAAGAAUCAAUAACCACUUGUGCCUCUUCCUUCAAGACUUUGUUGUAAGCUCAAAUCGGGUAAAGCCAAUGAUUAGAGGCAUCAGGGGCGCAACGCCUUUGACCUAUUCUCAAACUUUAAAUAGGUAGGACGGCGCAGCUGCUUCAUUAAGCCACGCCACGGAAUUGAGAGCUCUAUAUCGGCCAUUUUUGGUACGCAAAACUGGCGAUGCAGGAUGAACCGGAAGCCAAGUUAUGGUGCCCAACUACACGCUAACCUAGAACCCACAAAGGGUGUUGGUCGAUUAAGACAGCAGGACGGUGGUCAUGGAAGUCGAAAUCCGUUAUAGAGUGUGUAACAACUCACUUGUAAAUCAAUUAGCCCCAAAAAUGGAUGGCGCUGAGGCACGCGACCUAUACCCGGCCGUCGGGGCAAGCGCCAAGCCCCAAUGAGUAGGAGGGCACGACGGUCGCUACAAAAUCUGGGGCGCGAGCCCAGGUGGAGCGACCGUCAGUGCAGAUCUUGGUGGUAGUAGCAAAUAUUCAAAUGAGAACUUUGAAGGUUGAAGAGGGGAAAGGUUCCAUGUGAACGGUAAUUGCACAUGGGUCAGUCGAUCCUAAGAGACGGGGGAAGCCCAUCUGAUAGCGUGUCUAAUGCGAACGUCGAAAGGGAAUCGGGUUAAAAUUCCUGAACCAGGACGUGGCGGUUGACGGCGACGUUAGGAAGUCCAAAGACGUCAGCAAGGCCCUCAGAAAGAGUCAUCUUUUAUGUUUAACAACCUGCCCACCCUGGAAAUGGCUCAGCCGGAGGUAGGGUCCAGCGGCUGAAAAAACACUGCACGCCGCGCGAUGUCCGAUACGCCCCCGGCAGCCCUUGAAAAUCUGGAGGACCGAGUAUCGUUAGCACCCAGUCAUUCUCAUAACCGCAUCAGGUCUCUAAGGUGAACAGCCUCUAGUCGAUGGAACAAUAUAGGCAAGGGAAGUCGACAAAAUGGAUCUGUAACUUCGGGAAAAGGAUUAGCUUUGAGGAAUAGGCAUAGGGGUCCCAGCCUGGAACCCGUCGGCUGUCGACGGACUGCUCGAGCUGCUCCAGCGACAAGAGCGAGUCGCCGCGUGCCGGCUGGGGGAAAGACUGGGAACGGUCAUUUCGGGGACCUUUCCCGGGCAGCGAACAUUCAGCUCAAAAUUGGUACGAACAAGGGGAAUCUGACUGUUUAAUUAAAACAAAGCAUUCGAUGGUCCCUGAGGAUGCUAAUGCAAUGUGAUUUUUGCCCAGUGCUCUGAAUGUCAAAGUGAAGAAAUUCAACCAAGCAUGGGUAAACAGCGGGAGUAACUAUGACUUUCUUAAGGUAGCUAAAUGCCUCGUCAUCUAAUUAGUGACGUGCAUAAAUAGAUUAACGAGAUUUUCACUGUCCCUGUCUAUUAUCCAGCGAAACCACAGCCAAGGGAACAGGCUUGGCAGAAUCAGCGAGGAAAGAAGACCUUGUUGAGCUUGACUCUAGUCUGACUUUGUGAAAUGACUUGAGAGGUGUAGUAUAAGUAGAAGCCUGACGGCGAAAUUGAAAUACCACUACUUUUAACGUUAUUUUACUUAUUCUGUGCAUCGGAGGUGGGGCAUCGCCCUUUUUUUUGGAACAAAGGUCUGCUCGUAGGCUGAUCCAGGCAUAAGACAUUGUCAGGUGGGGAGUUUGGCUGGGGCGGCACAUCUGUUAAAAAUAGCGCAUGUGUCCUAAGAUGAGCUCAACGAGAACAGAAAUCUCGUGUGGAACAAAAGGGUAAAAGCUUGUUUGAUUUUGAUUUCCAGUACGAAUACAAACCGUGAAAACAUGGCCUAUUGAUCCUUUAGACCUUCGAAAUUUGAAGCUAGAGGUGUCAGGAAAGUUACCACAAGGAUAACUGGCUUAUGGCAGCUAAGCAUUCAUAGCGACGUUGCUUUUUUAUCCUUCAAUGUCGGCUCUUCCUAUUGUUGUGAAGUAGAAUUCACCAAGUGUUGGAUUGUUCACCCACCAAUAGGGAACGUGAGCUGGGUUUAGACCGUCGUGAGACAGGUUAGUUUUACCCUACUAAUGACAGCGUCGCAAUAGUAAUUCAACCUAGUACGAGAGGAACCGUUGAUUCGCACAAUUGGUCAUCACGCUUGGUUGAAAAGCCAGUGGCGCGAAGCUACCGUGCGCUGGAUUAUGGUUAAACGCCUCUAAGUCAGAAUUCAGGCUAGAAGCGAUGCGUGCACCCGCCGUCCAAUUGCCGACCUGCAGUAGGGGCCUCGACCCCCAAAGGCUCAUGUCAAUGGUCAAGCUGUCACGACGGUCGAGCCGUGCUGGCCACCUUGAAUCGUAAUUUCCACCAAGU
This 2963-nucleotide ribosomal RNA is filed under the name Pyrus x bretschneideri (Chinese white pear). RNAcentral describes it as "eukaryotic LSU rRNA". The stretch from base 473 to 2963 matches the Rfam family "Eukaryotic large subunit ribosomal RNA". The record is from RNAcentral. Lineage: Eukaryota; Viridiplantae; Streptophyta; Magnoliopsida; Rosales; Rosaceae.